RNAcentral lists this transfer RNA (74 nucleotides) under Microcaldota archaeon. Its description in RNAcentral is "Candidatus Micrarchaeota archaeon (hot springs metagenome) tRNA-Tyr". It matches the Rfam family "tRNA". From Rfam's summary of the family: Transfer RNA (tRNA) molecules are approximately 80 nucleotides in length. Lineage: Archaea; Nanobdellati; Microcaldota. RNAcentral also lists the same sequence under 1 other name. The record is from RNAcentral.
CCCGCCAUAGCUCAACUUGGUAGAGCAUCCGGCUGUAGACCGGAUGGUUGGGUGUUCAAAUCACCCUGGCGGGA